AGGAAAUUGAAAAAGGAGGAUGGCAAGUUUAAGGUCAGCCUGGGCAACUCAUCAAGAUCUUGUAUCAAAAUCAAAAUAAAAAGGGCUGGAUAUGUAACUCAGUAAUAGAUUGCCCCUCGAUUCAAUCUCUAGUGCCCAAAGGGAGUGAGAAGCAUAUAACUCAUGUUCACUUUUUCCAUAUUAUGAAAAAUUUUAAACAUAAAGUUGAAAGAAUUUUACUUGUAUGCUCAUGACCUAGAUUUCACCAUUACAUUUUGUCAUAGUUGCCUUAUUGAAUAUCUUGUCACUCUAUCUAUCCCCUAUCAUCCAUCCAUAUCUUGUUUAUUUUUGAGGCAGUGGGGAUUGAACCCAGAGGCACUCUACUACUGAGCUACCCUAGUUUUUUAUUUUAUUUUUAGACAGGGUCUCUCUGAAUUACCCAGUUUGGCCUCAAACUUGGGUUUCUCUUGUCAUGCUUUUCAAAGUAAGCUAUAGAUAUUAGUAUGCUUAUCCUUAAACUUAAUAUUAUUUGUACUUUUCAAUUUUUUUUUUAAUACUGGGGAUAGAAAGGCAAGUGACUCACCUGAGAUGGAGAUUCAACCAAGAGCUUUACUCGGGGGCUGCCUGAAGGGGAAGAAAAGGAGAGGAAAGAGCAGAGAUAGGAGAGGAGGAGGGAAGAGAGAAAGAGCAGAGAGCAGAGGAAGAGAGCAGAGAGAAAGAGAGUAGAGAGAUGAGAGAAAGAAGAGGAAGAGAGCAGACAGGAAGAGGGCAGAGGCAUUUUGCGUAGGCAAUAUGGCGGGUGCUGAUUGGCAGGGUGACUCAGGAAUGGCAAGCGGAUACUGUGUCCCACGGGGGUUGGUCGAGAAAACUUUUGAUUUGGUGGUCUUCAGCUUGGCGCCCUUUGGAGAGGAGGGGGAGCGGUAAGGGAUUAGUGUUGUUCUCCUAAGACUGAAACUUAACUUCAGCCAGGUCUCUUCCACACACCCAACAGGGAUGACAUUCAGGCCUCCUGCAUGCUAGGCAACUUUUCUACCCCUAAGCUACUUUCCCAGUCCUGCAGUUUUUAAUUUUAAUAUAACAUUUAAAAUCAAACUGAUGAAUGUAAAGUCUAAUAUUCCGUGAGGGUUUGUGUGUGUGUAGUACUGGGGAUAAAACCCAAGGGUGCUUUACAACUGAAAUACAUCUCUAGUUCUUUUAAUUUUUUUUUUUCCUUUUUAAGAUGAAUUCUCACUAAAUUGCUGGUCUUGAACUUGUGAUCCUUCUGACCCAGGCUUCCCAGUAGCUGAGAUUACAGGUGUGCUCCAUGAUGUCAAGUUGUUUCCAUGAGUUUUGACAAAUGCAUACACCUGUGUUUCCUAACCCUCUAUCAAGAUUUAAAACAUCUUUAUCUCAUAAAGAUCUCUUCAGCUCAUUU
Molecule: long non-coding RNA, 1393 nt
Filed under: Marmota monax (woodchuck)
Lineage: Eukaryota; Metazoa; Chordata; Mammalia; Rodentia; Sciuridae
Source: RNAcentral